CCACAAUGGACGAAAGUCUGAUGGAGCGACGCCGCGUGCGGGAUGAAGGCCUUAUUGGGUUGUAAACCGCUGUCAGGGGGGAAGAACAUCGGAAUGAACAAUACUCAUUCCGACUGACGUUUACCCCAGAGGGAAGCUCCGGCCAAACUCCGUGCCAAGCCAGCCGCGGUAAUACGGGGGGAGCAAGCGUUGUCCGGAAUUAUUUGGGC
RNAcentral lists this ribosomal RNA (209 nucleotides) under uncultured microorganism. RNAcentral describes it as "partial 16S ribosomal RNA". It matches the Rfam family "Bacterial small subunit ribosomal RNA", at positions 366 to 560 of the family's 1533-position model. The record is from RNAcentral.